UACGAAGGGGGCUAGCGUUGCUCGGAAUCACUGGGCGUAAAGCGCACGUAGGCGGAUUGCUAAGUCAGGGGUGAAAUCCUGAGCUCAACUCCAGAACUGCCUUUGAUACUGGCGAUCUUGAGUCCGGGAGAGGUGAGUGGAACUGCGAGUGUAGAGGUGAAAUUCGUAGAUAUUCGCAAGAACACCAGUGGCGAAGGCGGCUCACUGGCCCGGUACUGACGCUGAGGUGCGAAAGCGUGGGGAGCAACAGG
RNAcentral lists this ribosomal RNA (251 nucleotides) under uncultured bacterium. RNAcentral's name for it is "partial 16S ribosomal RNA". It matches the Rfam family "Bacterial small subunit ribosomal RNA", at positions 524 to 775 of the family's 1533-position model. The record is from RNAcentral.